This 497-nucleotide unclassified non-coding RNA is filed under the name Brettanomyces nanus. RNAcentral describes it as "sequence contains 18S rRNA gene, ITS1, 5.8S rRNA gene, ITS2, 28S rRNA gene". The stretch from base 184 to 336 matches the Rfam family "5.8S ribosomal RNA". Lineage: Eukaryota; Fungi; Ascomycota; Pichiomycetes; Pichiales; Pichiaceae. The record is from RNAcentral.
UGGAAGUAAAAGUCGUAACAAGGUUUCCGUAGGUGAACCUGCGGAAGGAUCAUUAGAGCGAAGAGCGAGCGAUCGCAGCGAGCGCAGCGAGGGAGCAAGCAAGUAAAAACUUGCAAGCAACCUUGCCAGCUCCGCCAUACACGUGAGUAAUUACAAACAGUACCUGUCAACAUACGAAAUCAAAACUUUCAACAACGGAUCUCUUGGUUCUCGCAUCGAUGAAGAGCGCAGCGAAUUGCGAUAACUAAUGUGAAUUGCAGAUUUUGUGAAUCAUCGAGUUCUUGAACGCACAUUGCGCCUUUUGGUAUUCCGAAAGGCAUGCCUGUUUGAGCGUGACAACGCCUCCAUUGGCCUCCAAUGGUAUUGUGGAUACAUAGUAUCCACCAAAAAGAAAGUACGAAGAAUUAAGGUUUCGGCCAGGCUUUGUUAUUUUUUUAAUUGCCACCUCAAAUCAGGUAGGAGGACCCGCUGAACUUAAGCAUAUCAAUAAGCGGAGG